Molecule: long non-coding RNA, 3487 nt
Filed under: Hordeum vulgare
Lineage: Eukaryota; Viridiplantae; Streptophyta; Magnoliopsida; Poales; Poaceae
Description: long non-coding RNA (HVUL_LNC005081)
Source: RNAcentral
UUUUUCUUAGCUUCCUAAUAUUCUAGUGCAGUUGGUAAAGAUCCUCAAACUCUGAUAAGAGCAGCCCGGUGCACGUAGCUGCCGCUUGCGCAGGAUCCAGGGAAGGGUCCGACCACUUUGAGUCUAUAGUACGCAGCUUUUCCUACACUACUACAAGAGGUUGUUUCUUCAAACUCUCAUAACGAAAGAGAUAAAAUUUUGAACCACGGAUUUCCUGUUUGUUAUUUUGGAUACCAAGCAGAAAAUUGCAGAGUAGCAACAACAAAUUGCUAAUUCGGAAUGGUUUUGCUCCUCUUUUAGAACAUACUAAUGAAAAGAGAACAAUCUAUCAUCAACCUCUAAAUUAUUUGCAAGCAGCAACCACCAAUUGAAAAUUACAACUGGAACAAGGAACAAGCAACAAUGCAGUUACGUCAAUGAUAGGGUGGUUGAACAUAAAUACUUAUGUUCAAUGUUCAGGGCCUUUGGUGAUGGAAGAGGAGCUGUCAGCCUGUCAGAAUAGUUCAGGGCAGGAAGAGCCUAAUCAACAAAAGUGUAGUGGUCAGGAACAAACAACCAUGUAGCAUCCACCAAUGAUACAUCAGUGCAGUGACAACGCCAAGUAAAGAAAUUUAUUACUCCCUCCCAUCCAUACUAGUUGCCGCAACUUAAAGUUAUACUAAAGUUGCGACAAGUAAUAUGAAUCGGAGGGAGUAGCAAAGAUAAAAUUGGAUGAACUCAAAUAAAAAUGCAGAAUAGUCGAGAGUAAUAAGAUACUCCCUAUGUCCUAAAAUAAGUGUCGCGGAUUUAGUACAACUUUAGUACAAAGUAAAGUUGUACAGUAACAUAAGACAUUUUUGCAGUUCAAUCUUACGUUAGUGUAGAGAGGGAGUACCAUUCUUAAUGAUAGACAUAACAAAGGCAGAUCCUAUUGAUAAAUGGUGGAAGGAAAGUAAAAUUUACACCAAGAAUUUAGCAAAUACAAGCUGCACACUACUGUCAUGGGUAGAAGCACAAUGGAUUAACUUUAAGAACCAUAGCCCUGCACAUACAGAGUCAUUUGAUGAAGCUGUUAACCACCAUAUACUAACCUAAAUGUUGUUUGUAAUUUUCUUCAAGAACAUAUAUGACUAGACACUAUUAGCUUCGAGAACAUAUUCCAAUUUUUGCCAGAACUGGGCCUGGCAAUUACUCAGUAGGUUCGUAACCAUUUCUUCCUUUGUAUAUUCAACAUAGGUAGUUUAAUUUUCUUGCAGCAAAACUGUAAUUUCUCCAUAAUGCUUCUGCUAUGUUUCUUCAAAAUAAGAAAUAAUUAACAUGGUGAUAUUAGAAUAGAAUUUCACCAUCGAUAUUUGACAGAGUGUUGUUGCAGGAGCAAAAGACAGCCCCGCUUUUAAUUUUUGAAGUGUGUGGUCAUCACUGUGCUUUCGAGAACAGAUAUGCAAAAAAGAAUCACUCGUGUUACACAAAAAUGCCAAAGAGAAGUGGACUUCUUUUUUACUUCUAUUUAUCCUGCCCACAUAUCAUACAUAGCUUACAUUGCUCGGACAUGGUUUGCACAAAACAUGUCAAAUAGCUUUACAUCCAGAAGACCUGAGGAGAAACUGUCGGGAGAUACUUAGACACUACAUAGGAGUUAGUGUGGUGGCGCGUGGUUUGCAGUUCUCCCCUACGAUCAUACUUAAGACCAAAGGUGCUCAUGUGGAGCACACAGCCACGGUCACCAAAGGCGCACUUAAACUCCACUCCCUUGCGUAGCACAACCUCAACAAGGCAAAAGCUGCCGUCGCCCAUAUACGCGAGACUGGCCCUCGCAAAAUCCAGCCGUCUCUCCGGGUCCUUGAGGAACAGCUUCUCCUUGGUCACCUUCCACUCCGGCUCCACGGCACUUGUGCUGCUGCGGGAGGCGACUUCACAGGAGCAGAUGUACCCGUCCUUGUGAAGCCCGACCCAUGCGUCUAGCCCGUUGUCGAAGUAAGCUUGUCCUUGGAAUGGUAGAGCCCAAUCCCCAUGACACCUCCACUUGGAAUUCCUGGUGUCGAAGGAGAAGGUGCCCUUUGGAAGAUGAUGAUAGCGCAGGUCAUGCGCAGACAUGAAUAUGGUGUGUCCGUCCGGGUGCAGCGCAUAAGAGGUGAUUACGUCGUCCAUGGCGAAUGGUGGCGGCGAGGGAACACUUUUCCAGGACCAUCUCAUGGUUGGGCUCGGCCACGGCUCGUCGUUGUCCAUUGGUGCCCACGACAUGGCCUCGAAAGAGUGCUGCUCGUGGACGUGGCGAUGUGUCAACGCGUACAGCAUGCCGCCGGUGGCCACUGUGAAGGUAGUCGUGUCGAUGAUUUGAAUCGGUGGACGGGGACCCAUGGUGAGCCCAGCCGUCUCGGUGUCGAACACGAGGGUGGGAGUGUUUGGAGAGCAUGGGUUGGUGGUGAUGAAGAUGUUGCUGCCCAUGGCGGCGAAGUCCAUGUGAAGACGAUUUACCGGUGCGGCUAACCGGAGAGCAGCAGGGUCAGGGAACCCAUAGUGCAGUUCGGUGGUGGCGUCCUGUAAGGCGUCGACGUCGAUCUUGUGGAUGCUGAAGCCCUUGUGCCAAUCAUCCAACACCAGGUAGAGGUGCUUCUUCGGCACACGACGCGGCCUUUUCCCGAUACGGUCGACGUCGAGGUGCGAGUGCUGACGCUUAGACAUGUUCUUCCCGCACUAACUGGAUCUAAAGAUUGAUUUUUUUUUAUUCUGAUGGCUACGAGGUUGCCAGUACAGGAGAAGAAACAAACGGAAGGGCAAGGAGACGACAACGUGAUCCAGAUCUAACCUGGCAAUGAUGCGUUAGGUCUUGGAAAUCCCUCCGCUUAUUUAUGGAUGGCUAAUCGAACUCCCUGCCGGGCUCGGUUUGCAGACAGGAGCUAGAGCCCGAGUCGGAGCAGAACAACGGAAUGACUAAUCGAACUCCCGACAAUGGGAAUGCCCGACGGAUUGGGGGAGGGGAGCCGAAUCAAGAGUGAAAUCGGGAUCGAAAGGGGAGGGGGAUUCUGGCGAAAAGAUCACCGAGCAAUCGCCACCCAAGAUGCUACAAGACGCUGAGAACUCACCGCAUCCUUGUCGGCGGGAGGCGGCGGGGACCCUGGCGGCUUCACCGGAGUUACCGAGCAGUGGUCGCCGGAGUAGUAGCCCCCAAGCCCGUGGUCCUGGAGUUGCCGGGCCGCCCGUAUGGCUAGAAGGCAGUGGAGACACGCCGCCCCUCCCGUGGUCACCGAAAUGUUGAUGUGGCCGGCGGCGCUACGCCCCUGCUCUGCUUCCCCUCCUUUUCUUUUCUUGCGCGUUUUUUUCUUUUUCUGAGCAACUUUUUGCGCGUCUGCUAUUCCUCUUCACGCGCUUCAAAUUGGGUUCGUCUCUCCAACACCCACGUCCCUUACCCUAUAUAAACGCCGCGAUGAAAAAACAACUUCUAUUACACCUGCGCAGGGAAAAUAGUUCAACGCGCAAGAUGAAAUGGUUUCGUGUGCCUCAUAUUUCG